GUGCAUUUAUUCUUUGUGUUGAGAUUUACUUUUGUUGUUCAAAUAAAGAUUUGAACAACAAAAGUAAAUCUCAACACAGAAGAAAUGCACAAAACUUGC
This 99-nucleotide microRNA precursor is filed under the name Olea europaea subsp. europaea. Lineage: Eukaryota; Viridiplantae; Streptophyta; Magnoliopsida; Lamiales; Oleaceae. The record is from RNAcentral.